UCUUGUAAAAAUGCGAUGUUUCCAGAGG
This 28-nucleotide small RNA is filed under the name Bombyx mori (domestic silkworm). Its description in RNAcentral is "ovarian small RNA-30212". Lineage: Eukaryota; Metazoa; Arthropoda; Insecta; Lepidoptera; Bombycidae. The record is from RNAcentral.